GAUGAACGCUAGCUACAGGCUUAACACAUGCAAGUCGAGGGGCAUCAGGGAGAUAGCUUGCUAUCUCCGCUGGCGACCGGCGCACGGGUGCGUAACGCGUAUCCAACCUUCCCCCUGCCAGGGAACAGCCCGUUGAAAGACGGAUUAAUGCCCUAUGUUGUGCGAAGAUGGCAUCAGAUUUGCACGAAAGAUUUUAUCGGCAUGGGAUGGGGAUGCGUAGGAUUAGGUAGUCGGCGGGGUAACGGCCCACCGAGCCUUCGAUCCUUAGGGGUUCUGAGAGGAAGGUCCCCCACACUGGUACUGAGACACGGACCAGACUCC
Molecule: ribosomal RNA, 321 nt
Filed under: uncultured Prevotella sp.
Lineage: Bacteria; Pseudomonadati; Bacteroidota; Bacteroidia; Bacteroidales; Prevotellaceae
Description: bacterial SSU rRNA
Rfam family: Bacterial small subunit ribosomal RNA
Source: RNAcentral